This 1562-nucleotide long non-coding RNA is filed under the name Fukomys damarensis (Damara mole-rat). RNAcentral describes it as "lncRNA (ENSFDAG00000031755.1)". Lineage: Eukaryota; Metazoa; Chordata; Mammalia; Rodentia; Bathyergidae. The record is from RNAcentral.
CGGGCUAACAAAAAUAUCAUACUUUACCAAAACGAACUAAUUUCCAAAACAAACCCGCCGUGGGGAGGAGUGGUGCUGGUUCCUGCAGCUGCAGCAUCAGCAUGGUGGGCCUGCUCUGUGUGUGCUCGGGACUGCGAUAUUCAGCGUGAAUUGUGUGAAAAGGCCAUGCUGCACAGAUGUGGAGAAGGGAGAGCAAGGGCAUCUUAAUCUCCUUUUCACAAGUAAUCGGAGAUGUUCUCCUUGGCAUCGCAAGUGGGUGUCUCUCAAAGGCUACUGCAGUGUGGCCGCUGAGCUGGUCGGGAGCUUUUCCUGCUCUGCCAAGUGAAAGCCAGGCCGCUCUUUACUCAGAAGGGGCUGUGACCUGUGCAAGGCCUUGCACGCCAUGGGUGUGCCAUGUGAAGCCAUCGGGUGUCUGGAUGCUAAUGAUUUCCUUCAUACAGCCCUGCAGAUGUAGUAUGCAUCAGCACCACCUCCGGACUAGACUGAAAAGUCGUCCAUUACUGGGAAUCCAUAAACCCAGUGACAUCACCGUUUCCAGGCCUCAACCACACUGCAGCUGUACCUGGACUCUGUUUCUUCCUUCCCAUGCGGGACAGCAUUUCAGAGCUUGGGUGAUAGGCGAAGGAUUAAUACCCGGGACCUGGAACAGGUGGCCACAGGGACCAGGCAGAGCUGCGACCACCAUAGUCAGCACCCACGAGGCCUGACCUGUCUUCCGGAACCUGAACAGAGUCCAGCCCAGAGCCCAGAGAUCCCCUGCAAGGUGACUGUCUCGUGGUGCAUUUGGAGCUGUAGCCCAAAUCUGGGAUUUGUUGCUCUUUAUCCUUUAUUCUCUCCAUGUUGCUCUAUGCUGUGGGAACAUUCAGUGCAGGCAAGGACAUGGCUCGUUCCGGCUCAUACUGGCUCGUUCCAGCUCACACUGGCGCCUCGCUUUAUUCAGCGGGUGGGGUGCCCUGCCCUGCACUGAUCCGACCACCUGUGCUGAGUCACCACUCUGUGGCUGGGGGGUUGUGGUCAGCAGGCUGCAGGUGUCACAGUUGAUUCUCUGGAGGCCUUUGCCAAUGAAGCUAUCACAUGUCGGGGGCCGAGCAUGACCCCCUGUGCUAUUGAGCAGAUGGCCGAGUUCUGUGUGCAGGGCCAGGCCUGGCAUCCGGGUCCCUGGCAGUGGCUGCAGCAUUUGCUCUGUGGCACCUGCAGCAAAAUGCACCCUGUGGAAGCCAAGCUGAGAAGCCUCACGUUUCUGGGGGAAAGAGCAGCACCAGACACCAAGCUCAGUGAGUGCCAGGGACUCCAUCUUACGCUGGAUCACAGACCGGCUCCCCUCUCGCGUUGUGGGGCUGCACAGACCCUUGAAAGCAUCAUGUGCCCAGGGUGUACACAUGGGGCUUCCAGUCAUUCCUAUCAGUCCACUGAGGGAGCCCGUCAGAGUCUGUCGUCGAUUCAAGUCCAGGCACAGGUGAACAUAUUAAAGCUUCUUGUUGUUGGGUGCACUCGUCCCUGUGAAUGAGAGGAGGAAAAUUAUCCACUGAAAAGACUUGGCUUCUUCCUCUCCUGGACCCUGC